AGGACGAACGCUGGCGGCGUGCUUAACACAUGCAAGUCGAGCGGAAAGGCCCUUCGGGGUACUCGAGCGGCGAACGGGUGAGUAACACGUGAGUAAUCUGCCCCUAGCUCUGGGAUAGCUCCGGGAAACCGGGAUUAAUACCGGAUACGACCACUUUAGACAUCUGUUGUGGUGGAAAGAAUUUUGGCUAGGGAUGAGCUCGCGGCCUAUCAGCUUGUUGGUGGGGUAAUGGCCUACCAAGGCGACGACGGGUA
Molecule: ribosomal RNA, 254 nt
Filed under: uncultured bacterium
Lineage: Bacteria
Description: partial small subunit ribosomal RNA
Rfam family: Bacterial small subunit ribosomal RNA
Source: RNAcentral